This is a long non-coding RNA of Cercocebus atys (sooty mangabey), 1888 nucleotides long. RefSeq lists it as uncharacterized. The record is from RefSeq and is a predicted model, not a curated record. The transcript is spliced from 5 exons. Lineage: Eukaryota; Metazoa; Chordata; Mammalia; Primates; Cercopithecidae.
CGGCCCAGCCCAGCUGCGCCGAACCGAGCCGAGCCGCGCGGCCAGUGUGUGUCCUUGCUCCUCGAGCGGCCUUGAGCAGUGCCCAGCGUUGAGGGUGAGGCUCGUGCUCCGGGUCUCGCGGACGGCCGCCUCGGGCGUCGGGUCCCGGAGAUUGGACAGACACCAGAGCCCGAGGACCGCGGAGUGGCCGGGUGGGGCUGGAGGGCGGCGCCGCGCCUUCUGGGGAGACACGGAGGUAUCAGAUAUGGAGGUUAAGGAGAAAAUGGUGCAAGGUCACCAGAAGAUGAUCCCUACGUAUGAGGGCUCAACCAGGGUAGAGUUGUUCUAGAUCUGGAUAGCAGAACAGCUUGCUUGACCGUGAGACAGUACACUUGAAGUUAAAGGAAAUUCUUCAAUGAAGAAGUUGACUGUGGCCAGACCUGGGAUAUGCUCCUGAUUUUAUACAGACUGCCAUGGCUCCAGAUAUAAAAGACCAAAUAAAAAGAGAUCGGUAAGAGGGAGGGACCAAGAUGGCUGACCAGAAGCAGCUGCAGUUGGAGGCUCCCAACAAGAAGAAAGAAAAAGGAUUAAGACCCAAACGUUGUUGAAAAAUAUUCAGAUCCUACAAGACACUGACAUGCCAGUUCCUCAGCUUUGAUGGAGAAACCAGCUUUCUCUUCUUGCAGAGAUACUCUUCAUGAAAAGUGGAGCUCCAAGAAGAAUAGACAUGAGGAAAAUAUGUAUUUUUACAAAAGGAAAUGUAUGGUGCAAUUAUAAACUGUAGCAUGAACCCAUAAUUGGAAGUCUACGUCUCACAGUUAUAGUCAGAAAUUCUGGUACAUAUGAAAUAAGUUCUUUCAAAAUGGGAUUCAGGUAUUAUUUAGAAAUGCAUCUACUGAAAAGAAACAUACCACAAAAAUUUUUGCUGAUUAUGGAUGAGAUCAUGGACAGUUUCAUCCAAAUUAUGAGCUAGAUUUGUCAGAUGUAGAGUCUCAAUCAGGUCACUUGAAAGACCAAAUGAUUUCCUUUUCAUCUGAAGGGUUCAGAGAGGCAGCUUUUGAAAAAGGCACUGUUGAAAUAUUCAAAGUAGCUGUUCUUAGCACAGCUUUGAUUUCUAAAACAACUAGGACUGUGGAACUACAUGAGGGGAGAAAAGAGAAACUGAAGAAUUGUUUGAAAACAUAAAUAUUCUUUACUUAUAUUACCACUCCAUGCUUUGUGAAAAAAAAAUUAUUUUAUGAAGUCAAGAAGUAAAUCAGAAGAAAACAGCAGGGAAAGUCAACACAAACUGGUUUAUCUAAUACUUUCUCAGUGUCCAAUUUGCAAUGCACUGAGUUCCCUGCUUAACUAUGUCUAUAUACUGGGGGCAGGGAGAGGAGUAGGUUAAAAAUAAAUAUGAGUUGCAAGUCUUUCUCCUCGGGCUGCUAAUAUUAAUAUACCUGAAUUUUAUGUUUGUUGUUAUCUUCCUUGUCUCUAUAGUUUUUGCAACUAGUGUAUAUAUGUCUAAACAAUCUAUUGCUUAAAUUUACAUAAUUUUCAACUUUACAUAUGUAGAAUCAUGCUGUUUGUUUCCUUCCAUACCUCAGUUUUUUCACUAAAAAUUGUCUUCUGAAAAAACUUGGAGGUAUCAUACUUCCUGAUUUAAAAUUAUAUUACAAUGUUAUAGUAAACAAAUACGUAUAGUACUUACACACAAAAACAGACACAGUGUAACAGAAUGGAGUGCAGAAAUAAAUUCAAGCAUAUACAGUAAACUAAUUUUUGACAGAGACACCAAGAGGAUACAGUGGGAAAAGGAUAGGAUCUUCAAUAAAUAGUGCUGAGAAAAUUGAAUUUCCACACAUAUGCAAAAUUUAUAAAAUAUAAGGCCUAAAACUAUAAAAUUCCUUAAAGAGAACACAAAAAGCUC